AGUGAACGCUGGCGGUAGGCCUAACACAUGCAAGUCGAACGGCAGCACAGUAAGAGCUUGCUCUUACGGGUGGCGAGUGGCGGACGGGUGAGGAAUACAUCGGAAUCUACUUUUUCGUGGGGGAUAAUGUAGGGAAACUUACGCUAAUACCGCAUACGACCUACGGGUGAAAGCAGGUGAUCUUCGCACCUUGCGCGAUUGAAUGAGCCGAUGUCGGAUUAGCUAGUUGGCGGGGUAAAGGCCCACCAAGGCGACGAUCCGUAGCUGGUCUGAGAGGAUGAUCAGCCACACUGGAACUGAGACACGGUCCAGACUCCUACGGGAGGCGGCAGUGGGGAAUAGUGGACAAUGGGGGAAAGCCUGAUACAGCAAUACCGCGUGGGUGAAGAAGGCCUUCGGGUUGUAAAGCCCUUUUGUUGGGAAAGAAAAGCAGCAGGUUAAUACCCCGCUGUUCUGACGGUACCCAAAGAAUAAGCACCGGCUAACUUCGUG
Molecule: ribosomal RNA, 492 nt
Filed under: uncultured bacterium
Lineage: Bacteria
Description: partial 16S ribosomal RNA
Rfam family: Bacterial small subunit ribosomal RNA
Source: RNAcentral